CCUACGGGGGGCAGCAGUAGGGAAUAUUGCACAAUGGGCGCAAGCCUGAUGCAGCCAUGCCGCGUGUGUGAAGAAGGCCUUCGGGUUGUAAAGCACUUUCAGUGGGGAGGAAGGCGUUAAGGUUAAUAACCUUGGCGAUUGACGUUACCCGCAGAAGAAGCACCGGCUAACUCCGUGCCAGCAGCCGCGGUAAUACGGAGGGUGCAAGCGUUAAUCGGAAUUACUGGGCGUAAAGCGCACGCAGGCGGUCUGUCAAGUCGGAUGUGAAAUCCCCGGGCUCAACCUGGGAACUGCGUUCGAAACUGGCAGGCUAGAGUCUUGUAGAGGGGGGUAGAAUUCCAGGUGUAGCGGUGAAAUGCGUAGAGAUCUGGAGGAAUACCGGUGGCGAAGGCGGCCCCCUGGACAAAGACUGACGCUCAGGUGCGAAAGCGUGGGGAGCAAACAGGAUUAGAUACCCUUGUAGUC
This 465-nucleotide ribosomal RNA is filed under the name uncultured Klebsiella sp. Its description in RNAcentral is "bacterial SSU rRNA". It matches the Rfam family "Bacterial small subunit ribosomal RNA", at positions 338 to 795 of the family's 1533-position model. The record is from RNAcentral. Lineage: Bacteria; Pseudomonadati; Pseudomonadota; Gammaproteobacteria; Enterobacterales; Enterobacteriaceae.